AUUCAUCUUCGGGGCAGGGUGAAAUUCCCGACCGGCGGUGAUAGGACGCAAGGUCCUUAAGCCCGCGAGCCUUUAUGGCAGGAUUUGGUGAGAUUCCAAAGCCGACAGUUACAGUCUGGAUGGGAGAAGAUGAAG
Molecule: non-coding RNA, 135 nt
Filed under: Caldibacillus debilis
Lineage: Bacteria; Bacillati; Bacillota; Bacilli; Caryophanales; Bacillaceae
Also listed under: 1 other name
Description: FMN sequence
Rfam family: FMN riboswitch aptamer (RFN element)
About the family: The RFN element is a highly conserved domain that is found frequently in the 5'-untranslated regions of prokaryotic mRNAs that encode for flavin mononucleotide (FMN) biosynthesis and transport proteins.
Source: RNAcentral